UUCAGGGUGAGGUUGGAGACAUAUCCGGCACUUCUCAGCCAUCGAUGAGUAGGACCAUGCCGGCGGUGUUGGACGCAAUUAUUUCCCUGGCCCCAAACUACAUCCAGUUCCCUUACAGAGAUCCCCAACAAGCCGAAAUCAAACGGGGCUUUCACGCCAUCGCCGGAUUCCCAAACAUAAUUGGAGCCAUAGAUUGCACCCACAUAGCCACAAAAGCACCGUCAACUAACGAAUUUAACUAUGUUAACAGAAAGGGGUUUCAUUCUGUCAACGUGCAAAUCGUUUGUGAUGCAAAUCUAUCCUUGUUAAACGUUGUUGCGUGGUGGCCUGGAGGAACACACGACUCAUUCAUCAUGCAGAACAGCUCUGUUGGUGUGAGUCUCCAAGAAGGCGCUGUGGAAGAUGGCUGGCUCAUUGGUGAUCAAGGUUACCCGCUGAAGCCAUGGCUAAUGACCCCCUUAACCAACCCGAGGACCCAGCAGGAAGUAUAACCGGCGUAUAACCGGGCCCAUGCGCGCACGAGGGGCACCGUUGAGCGCGAAAUAGGCCUGCUGAAAGGGCGAUGGCUGUGCCUUUCCAGCAAGGGGGGGGACACUGCAGUAUCGGCCUGAAAAGGUGUGAAGGAUCAUCAUAGCUUGCUGUGUGCUACACAAUUUAGCCAUCAGACAGGGGGUCCCUCUGCAGGAACUCCCCAGACCAGACGGUCCUAUGCCUGACGCAGUGCCCCUACCACCUCCUAAUGCCACUGGCCUUCAGACGAGACAGGAUCAUACAGAGAUUUUAGCACCGCCUCCACCAGCACUCUUGGCGCACAGUGCACGGGAGGGACAAUGGACGGCCCCGGUUCCUCCGACUCCUCCAGCAACAGCACCAUG
This is a long non-coding RNA of Gadus chalcogrammus (walleye pollock), 875 nucleotides long. RefSeq lists it as uncharacterized. Lineage: Eukaryota; Metazoa; Chordata; Actinopteri; Gadiformes; Gadidae. The transcript has 3 exons. The record is from RefSeq and is a predicted model, not a curated record.